This 1414-nucleotide ribosomal RNA is filed under the name uncultured bacterium. RNAcentral describes it as "bacterial SSU rRNA". It matches the Rfam family "Bacterial small subunit ribosomal RNA". The record is from RNAcentral.
AUUGAACGCUGGCGGUAUGCUUAACACAUGCAAGUCGAACGCGAACGCAUCUUCGGAUGUUAUUAGAGUGGCGGACGGGUGAGUAACGCGUGGGAAUCUACCUUAUAGUGGGGGACAGCCCGAGGAAACUCGGAUUAAUACCGCAUACCUUCUACGGAAGAAAGGCUUCGGCCGCUAUUAGAUGAGCCCGCGUUAGAUUAGCUAGUUGGUGAGGUAAGAGCUCACCAAGGCAACGAUCUAUAGCUGGUCUGAGAGGACGAUCAGCCACAUCGGGACUGAGACACGGCCCGGACUCCUACGGGAGGCAGCAGUGGGGAAUAUUGCACAAUGGAGGAAACUCUGAUGCAGCAACGCCGCGUGGAGGAUGACACAUUUCGGUGCGUAAACUCCUUUUAUAUGGGAAGAUAAUGACGGUACCAUAUGAAUAAGCACCGGCUAACUCCGUGCCAGCAGCCGCGGUAAUACGGAGGGUGCAAGCGUUACUCGGAAUCACUGGGCGUAAAGCGCGCGCAGGCGGUCUUUUAAGUUGGAUGUGAAAGCCUACGGCUCAACCGUAGAACUGCAUCCAAAACUAUUAGACUAGAGUGUGGGAGAGGAAGAUGGAAUUAGUUGUGUAGGGGUAAAAUCCGUAGAGAUAACUAGGAAUACCAAAAGCGAAGGCAAUCUUCUGGAACACUACUGACGCUGAGGCGCGAAAGCGUGGGGAGCAAACGGGAUUAGAUACCCCGGUAGUCCACGCAGUAAACGAUGAAUGUUAGUCGUCGGGGGCCUCGUGUCUUCGGUGAUGCAGCUAACGCAUUAAACAUUCCGCCUGGGGAGUACGGUCGCAAGAUUAAAACUCAAAGGAAUAGACGGGGACCCGCACAAGUGGUGGAGCAUGUGGUUUAAUUCGAAGAUACGCGAAGAACCUUACCUAGCCUUGACAUAUAUUAGAAUCCACCAGAGAUGGAGGAGUGCCUUCGGGAGCUUUUAUACAGGUGCUGCACGGCUGUCGUCAGCUCGUGUCGUGAGAUGUUGGGUUAAGUCCCGCAACGAGCGCAACCCUCGUCACUAGUUACUAACGGUUCGGCCGAGGACUCUAGUGAGACUGCCUUCGUAAGGAGGAGGAAGGUGAGGACGACGUCAAGUCAUCAUGGCCCUUACGGCUAGGGCAACACACGUGCUACAAUGGUUGGGACAGUGAGACGCGAUACCGCGAGGUGGAGCAAAUCUAUAAACCCAAUCUCAGUUCGGAUUGUAGUCUGCAACUCGACUACAUGAAGCUGGAAUCACUAGUAAUCGUAGAUCAGCUAUGCUACGGUGAAUACGUUCCCGGGUCUUGUACUCACCGCCCGUCACACCAUGGGAGUUGAUUUCACCCGAAGCGGGGAAGCUAAACUGGCUACCCUCCACGGUGGAAUUAGCGACUGGGGUG